Molecule: ribosomal RNA, 473 nt
Filed under: uncultured Sphingobacteriales bacterium
Lineage: Bacteria; Pseudomonadati; Bacteroidota; Sphingobacteriia; Sphingobacteriales
Description: bacterial SSU rRNA
Rfam family: Bacterial small subunit ribosomal RNA
Source: RNAcentral
GGAAUUGACGGGGCCGCACAAGCGGAGGAACAUGUGGUUAAUUCGAUGAUACGCGAGGAACCUUACCUGGGCUUAAAUGUAGAGUGCAUUUUUUAGAGAUAGAAAUUCCCUUCGGGGCUUUCUGCAAGGUGCUGCAUGGUUGUCGUCAGCUCGUGCCGUGAGGUGUCGGGUUAAGUCCCAUAACGAGCGCAACCCUUAUCGUUAGUUGCCAGCUGGUAAAGCAGGGGACUCUAGCGAAACUGCCACCGUAAGGUGAGAGGAAGGUGGGGAUGACGUCAAAUCAGCACGGCCCUUAUGUCCAGGGCUACACACGUGUUACAAUGGCCGGCACAGAGGGCAGCUACCUGGUGACAGGAUGCUAAUCUCGAAAACCGGUCUCAGUUCGGAUCGAAGUCUGCAACUCGACUUCGUGAAGCUGGAUUCGCUAGUAAUCGCGCAUCAGCCAUGGCGCGGUGAAUACGUUCCCGGGCCUU